CAGCAGCCGCGGGAAAACGGAGGUCUCAAGCGUUGUUCGGAUUCAUUGGGCGUAAAGGGUGCGUAGGUGGCGGUGUAAGUCUAACGUGAAAUCUCGGGGCUCAACCUCGAAAUUGCGUCGGAUACUGCAUUGCUAGAGGAUUGUAGAGGAGAGUGGAAUUCAUGGUGUAGCAGUGAAAUGCGUAGAUAUCAUGAGGAAGACCAGUUGCGAAGGCGACUCUCUGGGCAAUUCCUGACACUGAGGCACGAAGGCUAGGGGAGCAAACGGGAUUAGAUACCCCCGUAGUCCCUGUCUCUUAUAC
This 301-nucleotide ribosomal RNA is filed under the name uncultured bacterium. RNAcentral's name for it is "partial 16S ribosomal RNA". It matches the Rfam family "Bacterial small subunit ribosomal RNA", at positions 509 to 807 of the family's 1533-position model. The record is from RNAcentral.